RNAcentral lists this ribosomal RNA (466 nucleotides) under uncultured bacterium. RNAcentral's name for it is "partial 16S ribosomal RNA". It matches the Rfam family "Bacterial small subunit ribosomal RNA", at positions 28 to 507 of the family's 1533-position model. The record is from RNAcentral.
GAUGAACGCUGGCGGCGUGCUUAACACAUGCAAGUCGAACGGAAAGGCUCCUGCUUGCAGGGGUACUCGAGUGGCGAACGGGUGAGUAACACGUGGGUGAUCUGCCCUGCACUUCGGGAUAAGCCUGGGAAACUGGGUCUAAUACCGGAUAGGACGAUGGUUUGGAUGCCAUUGUGGAAAGUUUUUUCGGUGUGGGAUGAGCUCGCGGCCUAUCAGCUUGUUGGUGGGGUAAUGGCCUACCAAGGCGUCGACGGGUAGCCGGCCUGAGAGGGUGUACGGCCACAUUGGGACUGAGAUACGGCCCAGACUGCUACGGGAGGCAGCAGUGGGGAAUAUUGCACAAUGGGAGCAAGCCUGAUGCAGCGACGCCGCGUGGGGGAUGACGGCCUUCGGGUUGUAAACUCCUUUCGCUAGGGACGAAGCGCAAGUGACGGUACCUGGAGAAGAAGCACCGGCUAACUACGUG